GAACUCUGGUAUUGAUUGGUGCUUGCAUCAUGAUUUACAUUUGAGUGAGUGGCGAACUGGUGAGUAACACGUGGGAAACCUGCCCAGAAGCGGGGGAUAACACCUGGAAACAGAUGCUAAUACCGCAUAACAACUUGGACCGCAUGGUCCGAGUUUGAAAGAUGGCUUCGGCUAUCACUUUUGGAUGGUCCCGCGGCGUAUUAGCUAGAUGGUGRGGUAACGGCUCACCAUGGCAAUGAUACGUAGCCGACCUGAGAGGGUAAUCGGCCACAUUGGGACUGAGACACGGCCCAAACUCCUACGGGAGGCAGCAGUAGGGAAUCUUCCACAAUGGACGAAAGUCUGAUGGAGCAACGCCGCGUGAGUGAAGAAGGGUUUCGGCUCGUAAAACUCUGUUGUUAAAGAAGAACAUAUCUGAGAGUAACUGUUCAGGUAUUGACGGUAUUUAACCAGAAAGCCACGGCUAACUACGUGCCAGCAGCCGCGGUAAUACGUAGGUGGCAAGCGUUGUCCGGAUUUAUUGGGCGUAAAGCGAGCGCAGGCGGUUUUUUAAGUCUGAUGUGAAAGCCUUCGGCUCAACCGAAGAAGUGCAUCGGAAACUGGGAAACUUGAGUGCAGAAGAGGACAGUGGAACUCCAUGUGUAGCGGUGAAAUGCGUAGAUAUAUGGAAGAACACCAGUGGCGAAGGCGGCUGUCUGGUCUGUAACUGACGCUGAGGCUCGAAAGUAUGGGUAGCAAACAGGAUUAGAUACCCUGGUAGUCCAUACCGUAAACGAUGAAUGCUAAGUGUUGGAGGGUUUCCGCCCUUCAGUGCUGCAGCUAACGCAUUAAGCAUUCCGCCUGGGGAGUACGGCCGCAAGGCUGAAACUCAAAGGAAUUGACGGGGGCCCGCACAAGCGGUGGAGCAUGUGGUUUAAUUCGAAGCUACGCGAAGAACCUUACCAGGUCUUGACAUACUAUGCAAAUCUAAGAGAUUAGACGUUCCCUUCGGGGACAUGGAUACAGGUGGUGCAUGGUUGUCGUCAGCUCGUGUCGUGAGAUGUUGGGUUAAGUCCCGCAACGAGCGCAACCCUUAUUAUCAGUUGCCAGCAUUAAGUUGGGCACUCUGGUGAGACUGCCGGUGACAAACCGGAGGAAGGUGGGGAUGACGUCAAAUCAUCAUGCCCCUUAUGACCUGGGCUACACACGUGCUACAAUGGAUGGUACAACGAGUUGCGAACUCGCGAGAGUAAGCUAAUCUCUUAAAGCCAUUCUCAGUUCGGAUUGUAGGCUGCAACUCGCCUACAUGAAGUCGGAAUCGCUAGUAAUCGCGGAUCAGCAUGCCGCGGUGAAUACGUUCCCGGGCCUUGUACACACCGCCCGUCACACCAUGAGAGUUUGUAACACCCAAAGUCGGUGGGGUAACCUUUUAGGAACC
Molecule: ribosomal RNA, 1417 nt
Filed under: Lactiplantibacillus plantarum
Lineage: Bacteria; Bacillati; Bacillota; Bacilli; Lactobacillales; Lactobacillaceae
Description: bacterial SSU rRNA
Rfam family: Bacterial small subunit ribosomal RNA
Source: RNAcentral